AGCCUGGUAAGGACGCAGUUACUACUGACAUCAGUGCGAAGCUGAUGUUAAAGUCCUUCUGGGUUCCUGCACCAUGGCACUCGGGGAUGGGACUCGGCUCUCAGUGCAAAGAGGCAGCUGAACUCUGUGUUAGUAAUUUUACUUGAAGAUGGCAGGGCAGUUGUUACACUUCUCCAGAUAUGGCAUAUCAGCACACCAAGUUACAAUAAUACACCCGUGAAACUCACAAUAAGAAGCUAAAAUACGGAGUUUGGGAUUUGCUAAGCAAGACUCUCCUUUUUGAGCAACACAAUGGAUCAAAAUCCACAAGAGAUUAUGCAUUCUCUCUUCUCUCUUGAUCCAAGUAUGGAGAACAGAGGCCAUCUAUACCCAUAUAACUAUCCAUAUGGACAGUACCCUUAUCCAUAUCACUACCCUUACUCAGCAGCCCAUCCUUCCGUAGCUCACUCAAAUAUACCACCUGCAUCUCACAGUA
Penaeus vannamei (Pacific white shrimp) is the source of this 475-nucleotide non-coding RNA. The record is from RefSeq and is a predicted model, not a curated record. NCBI's taxonomy places the organism in Eukaryota, Metazoa, Arthropoda, Malacostraca, Decapoda, Penaeidae.